GAUGAAGAACGUAGCGAAAUGCGAUACGUAAUGUGAAUUGCAAAUUCAGUGAAUCAUCGAGUCUUUGAACGCACAUUGCGCCCCCUGGUAUUCCGGGGGGCAUGCCUGUCCGAGCGUCAUUGCUGCCCUCAAGCACGGCUUGUGUGUUGGGCCCCGUCCUCCGAUCCCGGGGGACGGGCCCGAAAGGCAGCGGCGGCACCGCGUCCGGUCCUCGAGCGUAUGGGGCUUUGUCACCCGCUCUGUAGGCCCGGCCGGCGCUUGCCGAUCAACCCAAAUUUUUAUCCAGGUUGACCUCGGAUCAGGUAGGGUUACCCGCUGAACUUAAGCAUAUCAAUAAGCGGAGGA
This 345-nucleotide unclassified non-coding RNA is filed under the name soil metagenome. Its description in RNAcentral is "partial contains 5.8S ribosomal RNA, internal transcribed spacer 2, and large subunit ribosomal RNA". The stretch from base 1 to 119 matches the Rfam family "5.8S ribosomal RNA", at positions 35 to 154 of the family's 154-position model. The record is from RNAcentral.